UGCUACAAUGGCCGGUACAGAGGGUUGCGAUGCCGUGAGGCGGAGCGAAUCCCAAAAAGCCGGUCUCAGUUCGGAUUGGGGUCUGCAACUCGACCCCAUGAAGUCGGAGUCGCUAGUAAUCGCAGAUCAGCAACGCUGCGGUGAAUACGUUCCCGGGCCUU
Molecule: ribosomal RNA, 161 nt
Filed under: uncultured Streptosporangium sp.
Lineage: Bacteria; Bacillati; Actinomycetota; Actinomycetes; Streptosporangiales; Streptosporangiaceae
Description: partial 16S ribosomal RNA
Rfam family: Bacterial small subunit ribosomal RNA
Source: RNAcentral